Long non-coding RNA from Acinonyx jubatus (cheetah), 1608 nucleotides. RefSeq lists it as uncharacterized. Lineage: Eukaryota; Metazoa; Chordata; Mammalia; Carnivora; Felidae. The transcript is spliced from 5 exons. The record is from RefSeq and is a predicted model, not a curated record.
GCAAUAGAGUGCAGGGUUAUUAGGCCCAGGAGACUUGCCACAAAUUCGGAUGGCAGAACCAUCAAGUCACAAUACCCGGUGCUGGACAAUCACCCAUACUCAGAGGAAGGUCGGGCCCCACCAUAAUGCAUGUGAUGAGUCAUACCAAACUGCACACAGAGAUACAGGUGAGGAGGAUAGAGAUCAGAGAAGUUAAGUAACUUGCCAAAUGUCACACAAUGAACAAGAGUCGCUAUCUGGACCUAAAUCCACGUCUUUUCUAACAUCAACACCCAUGCUGUUGCAUGACAUCGCACUAAGGAACUACCUAACAAUGCCUGACAUCUACCAUGCUGGAAGCAAAGGUACAAGUCCGGAGGAGUCUGAUGUCAACGCCAGGGAAAGUCCUCUACUGGCAAGUAUGUGACACUGGGAAGACAUCUGCCAACAUACAUUCCCAGCGCCUGAGGCCCAUGUCUUGACAUACUGAGCCAGUGACAGGAGGACACCAAUGAUGACACAAUGUCAGAUAACCAAUGGGAAUGAGAGAUGACUGGUAAACCAAGUAAGAAGGCACUGGCAGAGGCAGCAAAGAGGGGUGGUGCUUGCGACAAGGCUGUAGCUUGAAAAGAAAAGAGGCCGUACCUUCACAGCCACGUUCUAUCUGUCCACUCCGAUGGAGGGCAUCGUUGAUGAGGUCUGGCAGACGCCCAUUCAAAUCCACCGAGGCCAGACAUCCCUGAAAGCCAUCCCGGGAAGCCACCAAUUUUGGAAGGUUGCUGUACAUGCCUUGGGCCAGACCCGCCAUGUAGAGGUCACCUGCAAAAGAAAGGCUUGAGCUGAGAUACCUGGUAUAAACUAUGUGAAGUCUUCUACUCACCCCUUGACUAGCUCAACUGCAAUGAAGUCAUUGCCAUCACCACUGUUGAAGAGGAUGAAGCCAUCAGCUGAGGUGGUCUUGAACUGGAAGAAGAGGUGCAUGGAGGUGUAUGCCUGGAGGGUGGCCAGGCUCAGAACUUUUGCUGGAACACCUUUGAGAGAGUCAUUCUUGGUAAAUAAGGUUUUUUGAAGGAAUAAGAAGAAAACCCAGAGCUGCCGGAGGCCUUGUGAUAAGGAGAGAGAUUGGGCCUGCCUGAGUAGACAGCCAACCCGGAAGAUAACCACAACAUGGACAGAAAGUUUCUCUAGGGUGAUGCCAUGUGAAGGUCUGGAUUCAGUAGUCACAGCCAGACUUUUAACUAUAUGGCAAUAGAUUCCCUUUUGUGCUUCAAGCAUUUGAGUUGGGUGUCUGACACUUACAAUUAAAAGAUCUCCAGCUGAUACAAAUAAACUUGUAGACCUUCAUUACAUGGCUUAUCUAGAAGUAGUAAGUGAAUAGGGCAGGAGUAAUGAAAGGGGUUUGAAAUAAAUACAAAAGAGAAUGGAAAUCUUAAUAACAAAGUUAAGAAAAACAGCAUUAGUAUGGCUAGAGUAGAUGGUGGCUCCCUCAAUAUUUAUAUAGACAAAUCAUUAAAAUUUAACAAACCAUGCCCUAAUGCCCCAGUGGUGAAGGAAGGGCAGGGAAAAUCCCUCCUCCUGCCCUAUCUUGUUGUUACCUCCCACACUGAAGAAACGUCACUACAAAGACAC